RNAcentral lists this ribosomal RNA (858 nucleotides) under uncultured Actinomycetes bacterium. RNAcentral describes it as "bacterial SSU rRNA". It matches the Rfam family "Bacterial small subunit ribosomal RNA", at positions 28 to 892 of the family's 1533-position model. The record is from RNAcentral. Lineage: Bacteria; Bacillati; Actinomycetota; Actinomycetes.
GACGAACGCUGGCGGCGUGCUUAACACAUGCAAGUCGAACGCUGAAGCUUGGUGCUUGCACUGGGUGGAUGAGUGGCGAACGGGUGAGUAUCACGUGAGUAACCUGCCCCUGACUUCGGGAUAAGCCUGGGAAACUGGGUCUAAUACCGGAUAUGACCAUCUUUCGCAUGUUGGGUGGUGGAAAGUUUUUUCGGUUGGGGAUGGGCUCGCGGCCUAUCAGUUUGUUGGUGGGGUAAUGGCCUACCAAGACGACGACGGGUAGCCGGCCUGAGAGGGCGACCGGCCACACUGGGACUGAGACACGGCCCAGACUCCUACGGGAGGCAGCAGUGGGGAAUAUUGCACAAUGGGGGGAACCCUGAUGCAGCGACGCCGCGUGGGGGAUGACGGCCUUCGGGUUGUAAACCUCUUUCAGUAGGGAAGAAGCCUUUGGGUGACGGUACCUGCAGAAGAAGUACCGGCUAACUACGUGCCAGCAGCCGCGGUAAUACGUAGGGUACAAGCGUUGUCCGGAAUUAUUGGGCGUAAAGAGCUCGUAGGUGGUUUGUCGCGUCUGCUGUGGAAUCGUGCCGCUUAACGGUGCGCGUGCAGUGGGUACGGGCAGACUGGAGUGCAGUAGGGGAGUCUGGAAUUCCUGGUGUAGCGGUGAAAUGCGCAGAUAUCAGGAGGAACACCGGUGGCGAAGGCGGGACUCUGGGCUGUUACUGACGCUGAGGAGCGAAAGCAUGGGGAGCGAACAGGAUUAGAUACCCUGGUAGUCCAUGCCGUAAACGUUGGGAACUAGGUGUGGGGUCCAUUCCACGGAUUCCGCGCCGUAGCUAACGCAUUAAGUUCCCGCCUGGGGAGUACGGCCGCAAG